AGGAAGUUUCUAUCAAAUACGACUAGGAAAUAGGCUUAGAAGCGGCCAUUUUUUGAAGACCUCGUAACAGAGCACUGGUUCAGUAAAUAGUUUACUAUUUACAUUGAUAGUGGCACCGAAAAUUUAACGGAUCUAAAUAAUAUACCGACACCUUGUCCAUAUUAAAACAUAAUAUUAUAUAAUAUGGGGUAGCGGAACGUUGGGUAAAUUUUAGACUAUUUCUUAAAAAGAUUUAGGAAUAAAUGACCCAAGUGACAAUGCUGACAUGAGUAACGAAAAAGGGGGUAUAUCCCCCUCGCCUAAAGCUUAUGGAUUUUUUAAAGUAACGGCCUCUAAGUUUAUAAACCUAAAGGAUUAAACGAUGAGAAAAUCUUGUCUACAAAGUAACAACCUUUUAUAAGAAAAAGAGAUUAAGAUGUUUCGUCUUAUUAUCUUUUUCUUAAGUGAAGAAGGUUCUGGAAAAACAGUAAAAACCUUAAAUAGUAAAUAUCUUAAAAAUAUUUAUUAUUAAGGCGACAUAAUAACCGUACCUAGAGUCUACCCCAAGUAAGCAAGUAGAGUAUACGAAGGCGUUUGAGUGAACAAUCAUUAAGGAACUCGGCAAACUAACUACCGUAACUUAGGGAUAAGGAGAGCCAUUCCUCCUGAUUAAUAUCAGGUAAAGAAUAGGAAGCAUGGAAUAGUGUUGUACGACUGUUUAAUUAAAACAAAGCACUCUGCAGUAAGAUAAUAAAUCAAAGUAUUGAGUGUGAUUUCUGCCCGAUGUCGGCUGGUUAACGGAUUUAUUAAGUUGACUAAUAUAAGCUUGACUUUGAAGGAAACCCCGAUCAAUGGCGGCCUUAUUUUGAGGGUCCUAAGGUAGCGGAAUACCCUGGCCGUUAAAUGCGGUCUUGCAUGAAUGAUUUAACGAUACAACAGCUGUCUCAAUGAUUGGCUCAGUGAAAUUGGAAUAACUGUGCAGAUACAGUUUACCUCUAGUUAGACGAGAAGACCCUAUGCAGCUUUACUGUUGCUAGUUAUUGAAUGUGAUUUAAUUAAUUUUAGUAAUAUAAGGUAAUUGGUUAGAUAUUAUUGGAAGACCUUUAUUUUAUUCGUCAUAUUGAUAGAUUUAUUCUAUUUUCUUAUCUAAAGAUAGGAAAUUACCCCUACUAUGUUAGGGAAACAAUGGCUAGGAGGCAGUUUAUGCGGGGCACAGAUCCCAUAAAAAGUACCUGGGUGUAUCCAAAGUUAAUUUUGUAAAAUUGACAUGACUUACUUCUAAGUAUACUAUUUGGAAAUAAGUUUUCAUGACUAACAAUACAUUAUAUAUUUAAUGUAUUUAUUUUUAGUUUGUUAUUUGGUGUAGCUUAUGCUAUAACUAAUCCAGCUAUUUAUCUAUUAAGUUAGAAAUAUUUUUUUAUCCUAGUAAGAUUUUAUCUAUAUGGAAAAUAGAUGUUACUAAAUAGUAUUAUUAUCCUUUUAAAUUAUUCUUCAUAAUUCUCGCGUUGCAUUUACUAUAUAAAAAGAAAUGAAGAAAUAGUCUGAACCAUCUUGUGAAAGAUGGAAAUAAAGGAUAAAUAACCUUUAUGAUAACAAAUUUUGAACAGGCUAAUUGCGCCAGGAAGUACAAAUUGAGUGCGCAGUUUGGCACCUCGAUGUCGGCUUAACUUAUCCACAUGAAUGCAGUAAUCAUGAAGGGUUCGACUGUUCGUCGAUUAAUAAGUUACACGAGCUGGGUUAAAUACGUCGUGAGACAGUAUGGUUUCUAUCUUCUAGAGGAAAUUAGAAUAAAAUAAGGAUAGCCCCCUCGUACGAAAGGAGCUGGGUAUAUUAACCUAUGGUUUACCUGUUGUUUAUGUGCCCAAUAUUAAUAAAAGUAUAAUUAAGUUUAUACAGGGAUGUUACUUUCACUUAAGUAAA
Molecule: ribosomal RNA, 1899 nt
Filed under: Pseudogymnoascus destructans
Lineage: Eukaryota; Fungi; Ascomycota; Leotiomycetes; Thelebolales; Thelebolaceae
Description: LSU rRNA
Rfam family: Bacterial large subunit ribosomal RNA
Source: RNAcentral